AGCCGGGGUGGUAGCGGUACCUUGAACCAACAAUCCGCUAUAGUUGGGGUGAUAUCUCGUAGAGGGUUUUCGUCGGUGGAGCUGCCCUCUGUAAGCGGCGUUGACGUCUGGGUCUUACGCAAUGGGAAUCUGUGAACCGGGUCAGGGUAGGAAUACAGCAGCCCUAAGCAGAACCUCUCAUGUGCCGUAGGGUCGCCUGGAGGGAGCUGGCUGCAGAGGUAACGUCUGUUGAUGGGAUUCGAAGC
This 245-nucleotide signal recognition particle RNA is filed under the name uncultured Agathobacter sp. RNAcentral's name for it is "Bacterial large signal recognition particle RNA". It matches the Rfam family "Bacterial large signal recognition particle RNA". From Rfam's summary of the family: The signal recognition particle (SRP) is a universally conserved ribonucleoprotein involved in the co-translational targeting of proteins to membranes. The record is from RNAcentral. Lineage: Bacteria; Bacillati; Bacillota; Clostridia; Lachnospirales; Lachnospiraceae.